UUGGAGGGCAAGUCUGGUGCCAGCAGCCGCGGUAAUUCCAGCUCCAAUAGCGUAUAUUAAAGUUGUUGCAGUUAAAAAGCUCGUAGUUGAAUUUCGGGGUUAGUAGGUUGGUCAUGCCUCUGGUAUGUACUGGUCUCACUGAUUCCUCCUUCCUGAUGAACCUUAAUGCCAUUAAUUUGGUGUUUUGGGGAAUUUGGACUGUUACUUUGAAAAAAUUAGAGUGUUUAAAGCAAGCUAACGCUUGAAUACAUUAGCAUGGAAUAAUGAAAUAGGACGUUCGAUCCUAUUUUGUUGGUUUCUAGGAUUGACGUAAUGAUUAAUAGGGAUAGUUGGGGGCAUUAGUAUUCAAUUGUCAGAGGUGAAAUUCUUGGAUUUAUUGAAGACUAACUACUGCGAAAGCAUUUGCCAAGGAUGUUUUCAUUAAUCAAGAACGAAAGUUAGGGGAUCGAAGACGAUCAGAUACCGUCGUAGUCUUAACCAUAAACUAUGCCGACUAGGGAUCGGAUGAUGUUAAUUUUUUAAUGACUCAUUCGGCGCCUUACGGGAAAA
This 549-nucleotide ribosomal RNA is filed under the name uncultured Glomus. RNAcentral describes it as "SSU rRNA". It matches the Rfam family "Eukaryotic small subunit ribosomal RNA", at positions 548 to 1098 of the family's 1831-position model. The record is from RNAcentral. Lineage: Eukaryota; Fungi; Glomeromycota; Glomeromycetes; Glomerales; Glomeraceae.